ACGUAGGGUGCAAGCGUUAAUCGGAAUUACUGGGCGUAAAGCGUGCGCAGGCGGCUUUGCAAGACAGAUGUGAAAUCCCCGGGCUCAACCUGGGAACUGCAUUUGUGACUGCAUGGCUGGAGUGCGGCAGAGGGGGAUGGAAUUCCGCGUGUAGCAGUGAAAUGCGUAGAUAUGCGGAGGAACACCGAUGGCGAAGGCAAUCCCCUGGGCCUGCACUGACGCUCAUGCACGAAAGCGUGGGGAGCAAACAGG
RNAcentral lists this ribosomal RNA (252 nucleotides) under uncultured bacterium. RNAcentral's name for it is "partial 16S ribosomal RNA". It matches the Rfam family "Bacterial small subunit ribosomal RNA", at positions 525 to 776 of the family's 1533-position model. The record is from RNAcentral.